GGGGAUGUAAAGGUUUCGACAGCUUUCUAGAAGUAUAAAUAGCGAGUGGUGGAGUACCUGGCCACCUAAAAAGGUACAAAUAAAAAUAAACGCUGAUAACGAAGAAUUAGCAUUUGCUGCCUAAUUGCAGCAACGUCUUACUUUAGUAACCUACGACUUUAGAUAAGGCGACGAUUAGUAGGAAACGAAUUUAUUAUUUUCUUCAGUAAUAAAGGGAUUUUAGAAGAUAUGUUUAAAAAAAGUUUGUUUGUUAACGAUUUUUAAAUGAAAAACAAUAACAAACUGCACUCGGAGAAGUUUAUAUGGAAGGAAUUCUGGACAGGAGUUCGACUCUCCUCAUCUCCACCA
RNAcentral lists this transfer-messenger RNA (348 nucleotides) under Clostridia. RNAcentral describes it as "UMGS1994 sp934130285 Standard tmRNA". It matches the Rfam family "transfer-messenger RNA". Rfam says of the family: Bacterial tmRNA, also known as 10Sa RNA or SsrA, is named for its dual tRNA and mRNA-like properties. Its role is to liberate the mRNA from a stalled ribosome. RNAcentral also lists the same sequence under 1 other name. The record is from RNAcentral. Lineage: Bacteria; Bacillati; Bacillota.